Molecule: ribosomal RNA, 305 nt
Filed under: uncultured bacterium
Lineage: Bacteria
Description: bacterial SSU rRNA
Rfam family: Bacterial small subunit ribosomal RNA
Source: RNAcentral
CUGUCCUACGGGGCGCAGCAGUAGGGAAUUUUCGUCAAUGGGCGCAAGCCUGAACGAGCAAUGCCGCGUGAACGAGGAAGGUCUUCGGAUCGUAAAGUUCUGUUGAAGGGGAAAAAGAGCGGAGAGAGGAAAUGGUCUCCGAUUGAUAUUACCCUUCGAGGAAGUCACGGCUAACUACGUGCCAGCAGCCGCGGUAAUACGUAGGUGGCGAGCGUUAUCCGGAAUGAUUGGGCGUAAAGGGAGCGUAGACGGCAGCACAAGUCUGGAGUGAAAUCCCGGGGCUUAACCCCGGAACUGCUUUGGAA